GGCACAGUGGGAUUUGGCCAUGUUGAAUUGCUGCUGCCAUUUACCAAAAGGGUUAGUGAAGAUUUAAUGGUACAGAAGGAGCUACAUUGAUUCAGCAUAGCGGAAUCCUGCUGUUGUUCCUGUGUUCAAUCACAUUUCCCUGCCUUGUGAAAAUUCCCUACCCUAGUCACUUCCUCCUGCACUCCACACAGGUAAGCCGUCCUACACUUGAUUCGGCUCACUUCCGGUGGCAGUCUUAAAGGGACACUCCAAAUGUCUAAAUCAGUUUGGCUUGCCUAAGUGCUUUAUGUGUGAAGAGUGACCUCUUUUUUUUUUUUUUUCAUUUUACAAAAAGUGCAGAUUUCAAUAAAAAUUUACACUUUUAUAAAUUAACCGUGUUACACCCCCUGGCUGUCAAUCAGACAACUGGGCCGAUUACUUCCUGGUUGCUUAGCUCAAUGGAGCUGAACUCAAGAGGCAGCAAUUGCCCAGAGCACCUGCCUUGCAAAUACUACUCAUUGAGCUGCAUUGGGAGGGGGGGUGGGAUGAUUGACUGUAUACAGACAAGAAAUCUGCAUUUUUUGUAAACUAUUUUC
Non-coding RNA from Pelobates cultripes (western spadefoot toad), 575 nucleotides. The record is from the annotation of a GenBank genome assembly. Lineage: Eukaryota; Metazoa; Chordata; Amphibia; Anura; Pelobatidae.